CAGCUGGGCCUUCACUCACCGCGCAGGCGCAGCACGAGGCAGUUGUCAUGGCAACGGUCUCGGACUUCAGGAAGUGAUUGGAAAAGUGUCGACGUGUUUGGGAACUCUUGAAACUUCACCCUCGGACGAAAAACACUUGUUGUUGGGAGACGAGAAGAGCUGUGCGGAGGCGCAGGAGGAGAUGACGAUGCUUACUCGCUUUUCUCCCGUCCACCCACGACCCGGUGAGAUAAAAGAGCACCUAAAAGAACGUCUUUACCUGCGUUACGCGACACUAAGACAAAGAGCAACAGGGCGAGGCUUGAAGGUGCAUGCAGCCAUCUGUUUGAAGAUGGAGCUGGCAGGAAGUGGGCUGAUUUAUACCCUGGUCAAUGUCAGGUGGCGCUCCCUCGCCCGCGUAUGAUGCGCCAUAUGCUGCCAAUAUGAAGGAGCUCUGCUCUUUAUGUCUCUGUUGUGUCAGCGGGGGAAGAAGAGCUUCCCCAGAGGAGAUAUAUAGGUGCAGGAAUAUGUGGCACAGCUGUGAGGAUGAAAGGGACAGCCAAGCAUAUCAGUAUGUAUCGCCAUGGACACCUCGUCAAUAUCAAUAAA
Molecule: long non-coding RNA, 588 nt
Organism: Nerophis ophidion (straightnose pipefish)
Lineage: Eukaryota; Metazoa; Chordata; Actinopteri; Syngnathiformes; Syngnathidae
Exons: 3
Source: RefSeq, a predicted model, not a curated record